GCUUUCGUGGUGUAGUGGUCAGCACGCUCGACGCGUAACUGAGAGGUCCGUGGUUCGAUUCCCGGCGAAGGCG
This 73-nucleotide transfer RNA is filed under the name Stegodyphus mimosarum. It matches the Rfam family "tRNA". Rfam says of the family: Transfer RNA (tRNA) molecules are approximately 80 nucleotides in length. Lineage: Eukaryota; Metazoa; Arthropoda; Arachnida; Araneae; Eresidae. The record is from Rfam by way of RNAcentral.